GGGAAAAUAAUAUAAGCCAACAGUUUCCAGAAUUGGGCAAAGGUCUUAUUCAAAGUAAGCCAAUGGUUAAAGCAGAAGGCAGAAGAGGAUUCAAGGAAGAUGAUUGACCUUUAACCAUGUCAGCAUGACUCAGCAAUGACCAAGAUUUAAGGACUGAGAAAUUUCAUUCUGCUGCAACUCUUCCACCGCCCUGUCUUGUACUAACAUUAGGUAUGGGAGAUACUUAUAUUCUAUGUCUUUAUGGGAGAGACUUAUAUUCUAUGUCUUUAUGGGAGAGACUUAUAUUCUGUGUCUUUGUGGGAGAGACUUAUAUGCUGUGUCUUUGUGGGAGAGACUUAUAUUCUGUGUCUUUGUGGUACAGUCAAGGGAGUUGUUUCAUUAUUCGAACUGUACCCAAAAAGUAAACUAUAAAAAUUGAUACAACAGAACCAACAGUUUCUUUUUUUUGAUAAAAUAAAGCUUAAUUUAUUUGCU
This 474-nucleotide long non-coding RNA is filed under the name Papio anubis (olive baboon). RNAcentral describes it as "lncRNA (ENSPANG00000038620.1)". Lineage: Eukaryota; Metazoa; Chordata; Mammalia; Primates; Cercopithecidae. The record is from RNAcentral.